RNAcentral lists this microRNA precursor (61 nucleotides) under Columba livia (rock pigeon). Its description in RNAcentral is "Cli-Mir-9631_pre stem-loop". Lineage: Eukaryota; Metazoa; Chordata; Aves; Columbiformes; Columbidae. The record is from RNAcentral.
UAGCCAGGUGCCUCAUCUCAUGCCUGUGGAAAAACCUGUGUGAGAGGAGUGUCUGACUGUU